AUCCUGUCUCCUUCCCAGUCCCUCCCUCUUUGCCUUGGCCUCUGUUUCAUCACAUGCUGAGGCUGGAAGCUGAGCUGUCUUUGGGGUUAGCCAGAAUGUGAAAUAACCAGGGUUUAGGCUGUGAAAAAUAGGGUUUUCAUAACUCAAUUCCAGGAAUAUUAUUCAGUAAGUCUGGAAAACUUGCUGGUCAUGAUACUGAUGAUUCUGAUUCUGGUAGUCUAAGGGCAUCAUUUUAGAAAAAAAACAACACAGGCCUCAGUAUAAGGCUGUAGAGGCUUAAGCUGAGAGCGUCACACAACUCCUAAACUUCCUUACAUGCACUUUUUGGUUCCAGCUACGGAGCUGGGGGCACCUGGAGGACACUGGCUUGGCAGAGCUGCCCUUCGGGAGUGGUCCUGGGAGACUGGGACAUAUGGGAACUCCAGGAAACCUGGGGCCUCUUCCAGGCAAGCAGGAUGUCCAGGGUUCUGACAUUGACUGGACUCCCUGCAAGUCAUGGCUGAGUGAGGCCUUAAGGAGCAACGCAAAGCAAAGGGCAAGGUACCUGAUGAAGGCAUGCUGAGUGCAUGAAACUUGAACCCGUCAGAAACACUCGCUUCUCCAAGAUCUUGGGCUCCAUCCUAUAUAGACCGGUUUCCAUUAUUCUCAGCAAUCUCUGCAUGACACACAGCAACCAAAUGGAAAUUGAUUUCACCAAGUUUGGC
This 704-nucleotide long non-coding RNA is filed under the name Equus caballus (horse). RNAcentral describes it as "lncRNA (ENSECAG00000053691.1)". The record is from RNAcentral. Lineage: Eukaryota; Metazoa; Chordata; Mammalia; Perissodactyla; Equidae.